Drosophila elegans is the source of this 519-nucleotide long non-coding RNA. RefSeq lists it as uncharacterized. NCBI's taxonomy places the organism in Eukaryota, Metazoa, Arthropoda, Insecta, Diptera, Drosophilidae. The transcript has 2 exons. The record is from RefSeq and is a predicted model, not a curated record.
AAAUCUGGCUGGAUUGAAGAUAUAUUGUGCAUACAAAUUUAAAACGUUUUCUAUUUCUCCCUGUUUAAUAUCACGAUUUGCUGAAAAUUAUAAAAUAAAUACUUACUAAGUAAAUGAAGUGUUUAGGGUUUCAACACAUUUAUUUAAAAAAAAAAAUUGAUAUAUUAAUCCAUGUCAAGUCAAGGGGUCAAUGUCAAUCUGCCCGCAUCGAUAGCCCAAAAAUUCAAAGCCAAAAGAGGUGGAGAAAGAUGGAGGUUGGGCAACCGCAGAUGAGGUUCGAAUCGCCGAUAAAAAGGUUAACAGAUCAUCGCAUCCAGCUUUCAAUCCCCACUCACACAUAUGGCCAGUGUUAACGAGGCGUCAGCGUACACAAAUGCUACAUAAAACAUAUAAAAGCAAUAACAUAAAAAGACCAAAAAACAAAACCCAUUUAAAAAUACAUCCCAGCUGGAUUCAAUAUUUAUGUGUCUCCUCCUCCGAAAAUUUCUACAAAAAUAAACAAAGAAAAGCCAUAAACAA